This is a long non-coding RNA of Herpailurus yagouaroundi (jaguarundi), 700 nucleotides long. RefSeq lists it as uncharacterized. The record is from RefSeq and is a predicted model, not a curated record. Lineage: Eukaryota; Metazoa; Chordata; Mammalia; Carnivora; Felidae. The transcript is spliced from 2 exons.
UCCUGCAAGAGUGCUGACGGCACACCUUGCCCGCUAUUAUAGCUCGGACUUUGUUGUGUCCCUCUGCCAGUACCAGAAUAUCAUUAGGUUACAAAUCAGAUCUAACGGUUUAGAUUAUUGUUCAUCUUGAGCUCUGCGCUUUCUCUCCGUUAGUUGUGACAUAACAGAAAUAAUUUAUUUGUAGGCCUGUCUUCAAAAGAAGCUUUUAUUUCAAAUGUGCUUGAGGACAUACUGGGGGGAACUGAGAGUUUAUCCUCUGGGUGUCAGGAGGGAAAAUUGCUAGGCUAUAGCAGGUUUUGAAAUACAUGUGCUUUUGCAGGAUAAAGAGUUGCUUGUACCCUGAUGCAGCGCAUCCUUGCUGCAAAGAAUAGAUUUUCUAGCAACUUCUUUUUGGUAGCUUUAGGUGUGUGUGCGUGUGUUUGUGUGUGUGUGUGUGUGUGUGUGUGUGCGCGCGCGCGUGUGCACGCAUGCAAGUAUGUGUGUAAUUAUAUUGGUUUGGUUUUUAGCCAUCAUGGUUUGAAGAGUUCUGGAUGCCUUUAAUACAAUAGUAAUAGCUGAGUUGUAGUUGUGAUAUUAGUAGACAUUUAUUGAAUGCAUACCAUAUUUGUGGUCUAGUGCUAUACUCUUUACAUGGAGUAUCUUGUUUGAUUUAUCUCAACAAUCUUAGGAUGAACCGUUGGCUGUUAACAUUCUCAUAGAG